UACGUAGGGGGCAAGCGUUGUCCGGAAUCAUUGGGCGUAAAGAGCGUGUAGGCGGCUCGGUAAGUCCGCUGUAAAAGUCCAGGGCUCAACCCUGGAAAGCCGGUGGAAACUGUCGAGCUAGAGUCCGGAAGAGGCGAGUGGAAUUCCCGGAGUAGCGGUAAAAUGCGUAGAUCUCGGGAGGAACACCAAUGGCGAAGGCUGCUUCUUGGCUCAUUGCUGACGCUGAGGCGCGAAAGCGUGGGGAGCAAACAGG
RNAcentral lists this ribosomal RNA (253 nucleotides) under uncultured bacterium. RNAcentral describes it as "partial 16S ribosomal RNA". It matches the Rfam family "Bacterial small subunit ribosomal RNA", at positions 524 to 776 of the family's 1533-position model. The record is from RNAcentral.